Molecule: non-coding RNA, 24 nt
Filed under: Rattus norvegicus (Norway rat)
Lineage: Eukaryota; Metazoa; Chordata; Mammalia; Rodentia; Muridae
Source: RNAcentral
UAACACAAGGAAAGCUGCUCAGAC